Alosa sapidissima (American shad) is the source of this 560-nucleotide long non-coding RNA. RefSeq lists it as uncharacterized. Lineage: Eukaryota; Metazoa; Chordata; Actinopteri; Clupeiformes; Clupeidae. The record is from RefSeq and is a predicted model, not a curated record. The transcript has 3 exons.
UUCAAAUUCAAACAGCCAUGUUAUUGGUCAACUGGACUGCCUAUACAUUUAACUGUGUUGCCUAUAAAUUUAACAAAAUGCCACAUUCAUCCUCUCACAACCUCUACAUCACAAACGUAUAGGCUACUACCUUACUAAGACACAAAAUCAACAAAAGAAAAAUAUUAUUUGAUGACCAAAACUGAUAGAUCAGUGUGUCUAGGCUAGGUUAUUGCACAUUGCCAUCCAUGCGGCUGACAUAUCAGGCCUAAAAGCUACACACAUUAGUAUUUUAUUAAAGGUGAGAUGACUAUGAAACUAUACAAACAAUGUAUUAGGCCUACCAAAAAAAUAUACUUUCCAUAAGUACACUAUAUUACAACUUACAAGUAUUAGCAAUUUAAUACACUUAAACUAAAUAAACUUCUUUACCAUUUAAAAUACACUAACAACAAAGUACACUUUUAAAAAGUACAUUACAAAAACACUUUGAAUAUUGCACAAUAAGUAUAUUUAAUUUUAGUACACUGAAGUUGAACUUAAUAACAUCUACUUUGAAGUAUACUUUCUAAAAGUACACA